This is a long non-coding RNA of Felis catus (domestic cat), 4535 nucleotides long. RefSeq lists it as uncharacterized. NCBI's taxonomy places the organism in Eukaryota, Metazoa, Chordata, Mammalia, Carnivora, Felidae. The transcript has 4 exons. The record is from RefSeq and is a predicted model, not a curated record.
UUGAGCCGAAGUGGGACGCUCAACCAACUGAGCCACCCAGGCGCCCCUGUAUGAGGAAAAAAUUCCAGGCAUGUAGUAGGCCCUCAAUAUUACUUUAAUUUCUUUCUUUUCACCAUAAAUUGGAAAGAAUGUGUCUUUGUUGCUGUUAGCCAAAUGUGUAUAUGUGUAUGUGCCUGUGUGUGUGUGUGUACACAAAUCCUUUCUCUGUGGAUAUCAAGCGAUCUGUAAUAUUAUAAAAUUGAAUUCAUUUUGGCAACAUUCAAAUAAAAAUCAAGUGCUUCUAUGCCCUUUUCCCAUCAUAGGGAGGUUGACAUAAACUCAACAUUCAGUGCAAGCCUUCUGCUGGCCAGUCCUGUGCUACGUGAAAUGAUACAUAGAUCUACUGAAUAUGGAACCAGUCUUUUGCCCUCAGAAUCCUCAUCACAAUUCCUUAAACAUGUGGAGCGCUUCACAGAUAGCAGAUGCUUCUGCCUGGUGGAUUGCCUUACUCAGAUGUUUACACCCUCUUCCUCUCAGAUAAAAGUGGAGAGGACUGUAACAUUUUAAAAGUCCUUCCUGUUCCUGCACCUGAGUGGUUCUCAAAUGUUCAUGGGCAUAAUAAUGAGUUGGGGGCUUUUUGCAUGGGCAUAUUCCUAGCCUCACCCUUAGAAAUUCUCCGUGGGUAGGCACAGGUGCUGCCUAGGACUUUGCAUCUUUAACAGGCAUACAGUGUGAUCUUGAUUUAGGUGAGAUGCACUGAGUGCUAGGUUAGGAAUGGUGUCAGGGAAGCUGUUUUUCGCAGGAGUGAGCACAUUGUGACAUCCCGGGCAGGCAUGGCUAAUAGCCCAGAUCCUCACUGGAUCUCAGCAGUUGGACCUCAGAGUCCUGCAAGUAACAUGGGAACCAGGGAUCUUAUGCCAGAGGGAGCGUCCCUGGGGCCUGGAGACUCAAAGGGAAAUGGGUUGAAAUGAACAAGGUAGAGCUUCGGCACUGGUCCAAGAAACAGGAUAAGCUAAAGCUCAAAACUUUUUUGGAGACCGGAAUGACCUGUGGACUACCUAGAGAUGAGAUGGGCAGGUGAACUUCGUGGGGAAGGUGAUCUCAGCUACCAAGGUCUGAAACCAUCGGGAAGUUGGACUAUGAAAAUUUCAUGGUUUUCUAAUUCAAGUAAAAUAUUUAUUUGUUCAUUUCCUUUUUAACAUCCCUUUUAUUUGGUGUAGUUCCUCUUGAAAAUUUCAGCCCAGUUUGGGGGAACAGCUCUGGGUGAGGUAGGAAUUCUAUUAUGGCCACCAUUCAUUUCAUUGAGUCUCUUUGGGCCAGGCACUUUUGUGUAUUUCAAUUUUCUCUAAUUUUCAGAAGCACACGAUAAGGUAAGUGUGAAUAGUUUGUUUUUUGGGUGAGGGUCUGAAAUUUCAGAGAGGUUAAGCAAUUUGCCUAGGACCACGCAGCAAAGAAGAUGAAACUCACGCGCACAGGCUGUGCCCUUCUUACUGGAGUUUCUCUCGGUGCCUCCUCCCACUCGCACGUUGGAGGCCUUUAUCUUUUAGUGACCAGAAAAGACCUCCUAGGACCCAUCAAUCCAUUGCCUUCUGAGACACCUGGCAGAGAAAGUGAUUUCUGAAGCAGGAGAAAACCCAGGAAGAUUGCUCAGUUCCUGUGAGUGCUGCUUCCCAGCUGGGGAUGACAGUUAAUCUUGAAAAUCAAUUCAGUGCCUGCUCUCGCGUCAGACACUCCCCAGGGCAGGCCACAGCUCCUCUCACUGCUGUUAAACAGCACAAAAAGUGGUUGCCAGCAUGAGGAGGUCAGGGGCAACUGUGUGCUGGGCCUGAGGUUGUGCACAGAGCAGUUGCUGUGGGGCUAGUAGAUAGCACCUUCGGCCUCAGGGGCAGAUAGGAAAGGUGUGGACAAGAAGGGAUUCUGGCCUCUUCUGCCUGAGAAUGAGCAGAGUCAGCUCACAGGGGCAACCCAUGUCUCUCCAACAGCAUAGGCCUCAGCCCUUUGGCUUUGUGGCAGAGCUAUCCUUCUCUGAAUGCUUUCAGGACUGUGGCCCUGGGUCUUCCCAGACCUCUCCAAGAUUGGACAAGGCUGACCCAUGGGUGAUGACCCAGCAGGGACUCAGGGCCCCCUGUGUGUGGCUAGGAGGCUUCUGACAUCUCACAUUCAUGUCUUCUCUAGGCUGCAGUUAUGCCAAGACUAAUGGCCAAGACUAGUCCAUUGCUCCAAGACUAAUGGCCUAUGCCAGAUUAUGCUAGAAGCUUCUCCCAGAUUCUGGAAGGCAGCCAGGUAGUACUACUUUCCAAAAGAAUCAGUGCUCCUUCAUGAAGAGGUGAAAUGGGAAGCCAGUAGCAUCCCCCAAUGGGACAAGUUACCACAUUAAUUUUAGAGCUGUGGCAUUCAUCUUAAAGCAUUUCACCUGCAAGAUCACAGCUCUGGGAGAAACCGUUGUCCCCAUUUUACAGAAGAAGGUGAUAUUCAAAGACUUUAACAGGGAUUGAAAUGGUAGAAGGCAACUUCAAAUACAUAUCUUCUGACUACAGAUAUCUGCUUUUGAUGGUUACCCCCCUGCUACGUGAUUCUAUAUACAUCAGACUCAGUAUCUUCUCUUUGGUGGAUGUUGUCUUUGUGAGUUAGAGGUAAUUAUGAUAAUAGUAAUGUGCAUAUUGGGGGGCUGUGAGGAGUCGCACAGACAUAGACAUGAAAGUGCCUUGUAAAGAAACAGUGCAGUGCAAGGAAAUGAAUAUUGUUAUUCAAAUUCCUUCCACCUCAUCUUCUCUUCCCCUUCAAAUAUAUCCUCAGCAGUAACCUCCCACUUGCCUCUUCCUACCAGGUUUAUCACCUGAGUGAAUAGAAUGAGAACCACCAUCUGGGGCUGUGCAGUGGGGAUUGCUAUCAAUAGUUUGCAAACCAGUAAGCUGAGGUUUAGCGAAAUGUCUUUUUUGGGCUAAUAAACCCAGUGUUUGGUGGAACCUGCAUUCUCUCUGCCUCCUGCUGUGACCACACAGAAUCCCAGGACAGCAGGAAUGGAGCCUGGACUCUGGAACUCAGAGUUCAUCCCUGGGAGAGCCCUCACUCACCACUCUACCUCACCUCUCCGUUUUGGUGACCUCUGGGCCUCUCAUACCCUGAGGGUUCUAGAGGGAGAGCCACCUCAGGUAUGGUCAUGUCUUAUUUAUACACAUCACCAUCUCCCCAGUGACUCUAUGGCAGGGCGAAUGGAGAUAUUCUUACCAUGUGAGGCCCAGGAAUGGAGUUAUAUGAGGACUGUUUCCCUGAAUGGCACAGUGAGGCCCACCAAAAUGUCUUCACAUAUGGGUUGGGCAGCAGCGAUUGGUUGCUGGAGCCCUGGUGCCAUGCUUCUCAAAGUCCAUGGGGAGGAGGAUGGUUUCUCAAAGCCCUCAUCUGAGAAUCUCAGCCACCUUAGAGGGAAAAACCUCACAGGCCUUAACCUUUUAGGAAUCUGGAAUGAUGGAGAGAACUGGACACUGGACUUCAAGCUAGGGACUCUAGAUUUUAAGGUUGAGUGAAGUUUCUGGGGAGAAGCUGCACUUCUCCGAGCUACAGUUUUCUCAUCUGAAAAAUGGGUAUUUCUGAUUCAUUAAUUCGGAAAGUUUGUAAUAAGCAACGAGCAAGUGCAGUUCUAGGUAUGGGGGUACAAUGGUGAAUGAGAUAGAUGAGGUCUUGGAGGCUGAUAAUAACUCGGGGCCAAUACAACAGUGAAGGGGGCAGAUGGCUUAUAAAAAAUUAGACAAGAAGAAUGUUAUAUAGUGAUGAGCACUAUAAAGAGAAAUAACAGCACAAUGUGAUGACUUAGGGGCUACUUUAGAUUGGGGUGGGUUAGGGAUGACUUCUCUGAACAGGUGACAUUUGAAUGAGGUCACAAUGACAAGAAUGAACCAUCCAUGCCAAGAUCCGAAGCUGGGCAGUGAGAAAAUAGAAGGAAUGUUGCAGGCAGAAGGCACGGCCUGGGCACAGGCCCAGAAGUAGACACAUUUGGGUGGAGUCAGGCUGUUGGAGCCCAGUAUGGUGAGAGAAGCAAGUUUAGAGGAAAGUGGUAGAUGAGAAAGAAAGCCAGUAGGGGCCAGAUCUUCUUGGGUCUCACAGGCCCUGUAAAGGUGCCAUGUGAGGAUACAGCAAGAAAACCAGGAAGAGGGUUUUCACCAGGAUUGAAGUGGCCAGCCUUCAGAACUGAUCUGUCUUUUCAGGACCAGACUAACUUCUUUCGGAGUGCUUCUGUGAGUUUGCACAGCCGUGAAAACACCAAAAUGGCCUAUAAUGGGGAUUGGUUAAGUUCUCUCUCUGUAAAAGGCACGUAUGGAACUAUCUCAGGGACAGCAAGCACACGUCAUUUCCUCCAGUGGUGCACCGGAAUUGGCUUGGACCAGCUCACGAGAGCUGAUUAUUACGUUUUCAGGAAUUUUGUGAGCCAGGUCACAACUCACUGAUUGCUUGAAAUCAGCCACGGGAAUGUUUAAACCAUGUAAGCUGACAAAUGCCACAAGUCGGGACAUCACCUCCCACCCCCCAGCCCCAACUCUGUUAGUAAACAUUUAUCUGCA